Molecule: ribosomal RNA, 255 nt
Filed under: uncultured bacterium
Lineage: Bacteria
Description: partial 16S ribosomal RNA
Rfam family: Bacterial small subunit ribosomal RNA
Source: RNAcentral
CACGUAGGGCGCAAGCGUUGUCCGGAAUUAUUGGGCGUAAAGAGCUCGUAGGCGGUCUGUUGCGUCCGCUGUGAAAACUCGGGGCUUAACCCCGAGCCUGCAGUGGAUACGGGCAGACUAGAGGUAGGUAGGGGGAGAAUGGAAUUCCCGGUGUAGCGGUGAAAUGCGCAGAUAUCAGGAGGAACACCGGUGGCGAAGGCGGGGUCUCUGGGCCAUUACUGACGCUGAGGAGCGAAAGCGUGGGGAGCGAACAGG